AGCAGUCGCCGCGGGAAUACGGAGGAUCCAAGCGUUAUCCGGAAUCAUUGGGUUUAAAGGGUCCGUAGGCGGUCUUGUAAGUCAGUGGUGAAAGCCCAUCGCUCAACGGUGGAACGGCCAUUGAUACUGCAGGACUUGAAUUAUUGGGAAGUAACUAGAAUAUGUAGUGUAGCGGUGAAAUGCUUAGAGAUUACAUGGAAUACCAAUUGCGAAGGCAGGUUACUACCAAUUGAUUGACGCUGAUGGACGAAAGCGUGGGUAGCGAACAGGAUUAGAUACCCGGGUAGUCCCUGUCUCUUAUAC
This 303-nucleotide ribosomal RNA is filed under the name uncultured bacterium. RNAcentral describes it as "partial 16S ribosomal RNA". It matches the Rfam family "Bacterial small subunit ribosomal RNA", at positions 507 to 807 of the family's 1533-position model. The record is from RNAcentral.